Molecule: unclassified non-coding RNA, 363 nt
Filed under: uncultured fungus
Lineage: Eukaryota; Fungi
Description: partial contains ITS1, 5.8S rRNA and ITS2
Source: RNAcentral
AACGCACAUUGCGCUUCCGGGAUAUGCCCGGUAGCAUACUUAUCUGAGUGUCUGUGAACACACCUCAGCAUCAUAUUCUGUACCAAUUUGGUCAGACUAAGGUAGCUGGAAUAUGGGAAUUUGAUACUACUAGCAGCGUUUCUGUGAAAGUAUCUUUCCUAAAAUGUUAGCUAUAAUCUUCGUUCUUUUUGAACGAGGAAGAGAUUGAACAAAACUGGAUAAGCCAUGUUGCAUCUAGUCCUAUUCCUUCUCUCUGGUAAUGCUUCGGUAUUCAAGAGUGAAAAUGAAGACAGGAAGCACUGGUGAUUCAGCUAUUGUCCCCAAUCGGAUCUCAGAUAAAGAAAGAUUACCCGCCGAAUUUAA